GAACUGAAGAGUUUGAUCAUGGCUCAGAUUGAACGCUGGCGGCAGGCCUAACACAUGCAAGUCGAGCGGAUGAGGAGAGCUUGCUCUCUGAUUCAGCGGCGGACGGGUGAGUAAUGCCUAGGAAUCUGCCUGGUAGUGGGGGACAACGUUUCGAAAGGAACGCUAAUACCGCAUACGUCCUACGGGAGAAAGUGGGGGAUCUUCGGACCUCACGCUAUCAGAUGAGCCUAGGUCGGAUUAGCUAGUUGGUGGGGUAACGGCUCACCAAGGCGACGAUCCGUAACUGGUCUGAGAGGAUGAUCAGUCACACUGGAACUGAGACACGGUCCAGACUCCUACGGGAGGCAGCAGUGGGGAAUAUUGGACAAUGGGCGAAAGCCUGAUCCAGCCAUGCCGCGUGUGUGAAGAAGGCCCUCGGGUCGUAAAGCACUUUAAGCUGGGAGGAAGGGUUGUAACCUAAUACGUUGCAGCUUUGACGUUACCAGCAGAAUAAGCACCGGCUAACUCUGUGCCAGCAGCCGCGGUAAUACAGAGGGUGCAAGCGUUAAUCGGAAUUACUGGGCGUAAAGCGCGCGUAGGUGGCUUGGUAAGUUGAAUGUGAAAUCCCCGGGCUCAACCUGGGAACUGCAUCCAAAACUGCCUGGCUAGAGUACGGUAGAGGGUGGUGGAAUUUCCUGUGUAGCGGUGAAAUGCGUAGAUAUAGGAAGGAACACCAGUGGCGAAGGCGACCACCUGGACUGAUACUGACACUGAGGUGCGAAAGCGUGGGGAGCAAA
Molecule: ribosomal RNA, 776 nt
Filed under: Listeria monocytogenes
Lineage: Bacteria; Bacillati; Bacillota; Bacilli; Caryophanales; Listeriaceae
Description: bacterial SSU rRNA
Rfam family: Bacterial small subunit ribosomal RNA
Source: RNAcentral